UAGACUACUCAUAUCAACAAGGAAUUCCUUAUUUUUCGGGAGCCCAUUCGAAAAGAACUCCAAAGUUAAGCGUGCUUGGCUUGGAGUAGUUCUAGGAUGGGAGACCGACCGGGAAGUUGGUCCCAGGUGCGCACGAC
Molecule: non-coding RNA, 137 nt
Organism: Triticum aestivum (bread wheat)
Lineage: Eukaryota; Viridiplantae; Streptophyta; Magnoliopsida; Poales; Poaceae
Source: Rfam